This 468-nucleotide ribosomal RNA is filed under the name uncultured bacterium. RNAcentral's name for it is "partial 16S ribosomal RNA". It matches the Rfam family "Bacterial small subunit ribosomal RNA", at positions 28 to 507 of the family's 1533-position model. The record is from RNAcentral.
GACGAACGCUGGCGGCGUGCUUAACACAUGCAAGUCGAACGGAAAGGCCCUGCUUUCGUGGGGUGCUCGAGUGGCGAACGGGUGAGUAACACGUGAGUAACCUGCCCUUGACUUUGGGAUAACUUCAGGAAACUGGGGCUAAUACCGGAUAGGAGCUCCUGCUGCAUGGUGGGGGUUGGAAAGUUUCGGCGGUUGGGGAUGGACUCGCGGCUUAUCAGCUUGUUGGUGGGGUAGUGGCUUACCAAGGCUUUGACGGGUAGCCGGCCUGAGAGGGUGACCGGCCACAUUGGGACUGAGAUACGGCCCAGACUCCUACGGGAGGCAGAAGUGGGGAAUAUUGCACAAUGGGCGGAAGCCUGAUGCAGCAACGCCGCGUGCGGGAUGACGGCCUUCGGGUUGUAAACCGCUUUCGCCUGUGACGAAGCGUGAGUGACGGUAAUGGGUAAAGAAGCACCGGCUAACUACGUG